This 492-nucleotide ribosomal RNA is filed under the name uncultured bacterium. RNAcentral's name for it is "partial 16S ribosomal RNA". It matches the Rfam family "Bacterial small subunit ribosomal RNA", at positions 29 to 507 of the family's 1533-position model. The record is from RNAcentral.
AGUGAACGCUGGCGGUAGGCCUAACACAUGCAAGUCGAACGGCAGCACAGUAAGAGCUUGCUCUUACGGGUGGCGAGUGGCGGACGGGUGAGGAAUACAUCGGAAUCUACUUUUUCGUGGGGGAUAACGUAGGGAAACUUACGCUAAUACCGCAUACGACCUACGGGUGAAAGCAGGGGAUCUUCGGACCUUGCGCGAUUGAAUGAGCCGAUGUCGGAUUAGCUAGUUGGCGGGGUAAAGGCCCACCAAGGCGACGAUCCGUAGCUGGUCUGAGAGGAUGAUCAGCCACACUGGAACUGAGACACGGUCCAGACUCCUACGGGAGGCAGCAGUGGGGUAUAUUGGACAAUGGGAGCAAGCAUGAUCCAGCCAUACCGCGUGGGUGAAGAAGGCCUUGGGGUUGGAAAGCCCUUUUGUUGGGAAAGAAAAGCAGCAGGUUAAUACCCCGCUGUUCUGACGGUACCCAAAGAAUAAGCACCGGCUAACUUCGUG